CAAAAUAUAUUCCUUUCAGCAGUCCAUUCAAACCCUGGGCCCGGGAUCUUCUUUGUGGCAAGGAUCCUUGGUUUCAGCCUGGGACUUUGCUUCCUCCUUUUUCUCCUUCUGAUGAUGCAUCAAUGCCAAAAGAAAUCAAAAUGCCAAGAAGAAGAAGAUCUGGGAAAUGAGAAACUUCUGUAAGAGGAAGAGGAGCCAGCCUGUGUCCAGGUUGCUGAGUUCAGAGAGUCUAGGAUCUCACUGGAAGAGAAAUCCCCAUGCCUGUACUGAAACAAGCUAUACUACGGUCCAGGCUAGAAGUUCAGAGACUGCCAUAGUGGUACUAGGAUAGGACCAUGGCACAUUGUGUUCCCCUUUUACAUAAGUUCUCCAAUAAUAAACACGUUGGUCCUACUC
RNAcentral lists this long non-coding RNA (396 nucleotides) under Mus pahari (shrew mouse). Its description in RNAcentral is "lncRNA (MGP_PahariEiJ_G0005109.1)". The record is from RNAcentral. Lineage: Eukaryota; Metazoa; Chordata; Mammalia; Rodentia; Muridae.